RNAcentral lists this unclassified non-coding RNA (358 nucleotides) under soil metagenome. Its description in RNAcentral is "partial contains 5.8S ribosomal RNA, internal transcribed spacer 2, and large subunit ribosomal RNA". The stretch from base 1 to 120 matches the Rfam family "5.8S ribosomal RNA", at positions 35 to 154 of the family's 154-position model. The record is from RNAcentral.
GAUGAAGAACGCAGCGAAAUGCGAUAAGUAAUGUGAAUUGCAGAAUUCAGUGAAUCAUCGAAUCUUUGAACGCACAUUGCGCCCGCCAGUAUUCUGGCGGGCAUGCCUGUCCGAGCGUCAUUUCAACCCUCGAACCCCUCCGGGGGGUCGGCGUUGGGGACCUCGGGAGCCCCUAAGACGGGAUCCCGGCCCCGAAAUACAGUGGCGGUCUCGCCGCAGCCUCUCCUGCACAGUAGUUUGCACAACUCGCACCGGGAGCGCGGCGCGUCCACGUCCGUAAAACACCCAACUUCUGAAAUGUUGACCUCGGAUCAGGUAGGAAUACCCGCUGAACUUAAGCAUAUCAAUAAGCGGAGGA